GGGUGCGGGGCCGGGUUCGCCGCCGGCCGCCGCAGGCGGUGGGAUGAUCGGGCCGUCAUCC
This 61-nucleotide non-coding RNA is filed under the name unclassified sequences. RNAcentral describes it as "Li+-I sequence". It matches the Rfam family "nhaA-I RNA". Rfam says of the family: Acidobacteria, Alphaproteobacteria, Betaproteobacteria and Gammaproteobacteria, Verrucomicrobia, cand. division NC10. Downstream gene The record is from Rfam by way of RNAcentral.